GAUGAACGCUGGCGGCGUGCCUAAUACAUGCAAGUCGAGCGAACAGACGAGGAGCUUGCUCCUCUGACGUUAGCGGCGGACGGGUGAGUAACACGUGGAUAACCUACCUAUAAGACUGGGAUAACUUCGGGAAACCGGAGCUAAUACCGGAUAAUAUAUUGAACCGCAUGGUUCAAUAGUGAAAGACGGUUUUGCUGUCACUUAUAGAUGGAUCCGCGCCGCAUUAGCUAGUUGGUAAGGUAACGGCUUACCAAGGCGACGAUGCGUAGCCGACCUGAGAGGGUGAUCGGCCAAACUGGAACUGAGACACGGUCCAGACUCCUACGGGAGGCAGCAGUAGGAAUCUUCCGCAAUGGGCGAAAGCCUGACGGAGCAACGCCGCGUGAGUGAUGAAGGUCUUCGGAUCGUAAAACUCUGUUAUUAGGGAAGAACAAAUGUGUAAGUAACUAUGCACGUCUUGACGGUACCUAAUCAGAAAGCCACGGCUAACUACGUG
This 496-nucleotide ribosomal RNA is filed under the name uncultured bacterium. RNAcentral's name for it is "partial 16S ribosomal RNA". It matches the Rfam family "Bacterial small subunit ribosomal RNA", at positions 28 to 507 of the family's 1533-position model. The record is from RNAcentral.